AAAACAUUUGCAUUGAGCUAACUAAGAUGUGCGUAGAAGCUGCUCUGAAACCUCUGAAAGGGUGAAUACCAAAAGAUGAACAGGCAUCAUCCUAGUGGUUGAUUUGAAAGAGAAAUGCUGAAGCCCAACUUGUGAUUUGUGCAGUUGAACAUCACCUUACCAUGAAGCAGAGCCAGAAGAGAAGAAAGAACCAACUUUUCCUUGUUUGUCCACUUCUGCCUUCCAUUUCUUUGAUGACGUAUUCAUGCAGAAGCUGAAACUCCGAAAACAAAGGAAUCCGAGUGAAACGAACAGUUCAUAAAAACAGCGCGCUUACUGGAAGAUGACAUUGUUGAAUACUAUGUGUUUUCAGUCAGGCUGACAGUGAUUAUAAAGUCACCCCACUUUAAAAGUCCAAAGCACAUCCAGCUCAUGAAGAAGAUUAUUUCAAAGCACAAACUGACCUUGGCUUUGACGAGCAACUGUUUAUUCGUCACGUUCAGCUCAGAUGGUUAACACUCAUUCCAGCUUUGACAAGGAUAGUUGACAACUGGGAGCCUCUCUUUAAAUUUUAUUGAUGUUGGAUUUACAUAAGGCCUUUUGUAGACACAUUCUAACGAUGGCCAUCCUCUUGUUGAAAACUUUGUAUAUUGCGCUUGUAAUUGAGUAAGUAUGCUUGUGUUUGGAUGGGAAAAAAGGUAAGAUACAUUUACUAAAAAAUGCCCUAAAAAGUCCUAAGUUUCAAACAAUUUUCCCUAAAAAGUCCAACCUUUUAGAGAAAAAAAUCCUUAUUUUCCCCAUAAAUAUUUCUAAUAGGUGACCAACAUCCCUGUUGAUAACAACAGAAAAACCGGGUACCUUAGUAUAUAUAAAUUUAUUAAAAAGUGGAUCAUUGGAUAAUGCAAUUCAAUACUUUACAUUGGCUUAGCCAUUAUGGUAUAGGUGCAAAUAUACAAUAUUCUAAUAUAUGUACAUUGUAACAUCCAGUUUCUUCUCAGGAAAUAAAGUCAAGAAGAUUUGUUUAAUAUCUUGGGGGCAUUUCUUUUUUCAAGAAAACAAUUAUUCCAUGAGCACUUGUUGCAUAUGAGAUGAUUAUAGCUAACUCGGGGCUAUGCGCCCUGUUGGCUAUGUAUUAUGUCCUAUGCAACAUGCACUCGUGGAAUAAUUGUUAAUUAUAUGUUUUGUUGUGUAGUAUUGGUGAGUAAUUUUAAUACGAGUUGUGCCAUAUUUGAACAGCCCAUAGGGCAAUUAAAAUUACAACCGAGUGAAAAUACACGGCGAUACUACAAACAAAAUGUCUAAUAAGAGAUUUAUUAUCCAACACGCCACAUUUACAUUUCAGUCUGGGCAAAUGUCACGGAUAUUUGUGGAGUAAAAAUAUCACGUGAUAUUUGUAAUCUACUUGCGCGUUGUUUGUACUCUACGAAACAGAGUUGGAUAAGAACGAGUUUUACUGUGGGUGUGGAUCUUUGAAUGGACAGGUGAAUUUGUGCCUCAGCAGAUGUGAAUUGAGAUGUAUGCUGAAAGAAAUUUAUCAAUUUUCAGUAUGUAAGACAUAUGAUAAACAACCUUGACCACUGGGUCAUUCCAGAAUUGCUUUUUGUUCUUUUUACAGCAAGCUGUUUGUUGAAGGAUCAGAGAGCCUAGUGUGAUUUUGUUUUGCAUGAAAUUUGUUAAUUUGUCACUUAUUUCUACUUAAGCAGUUGGGAUAGAGUUAGGGCUGUGAUUCUUCUCUAACAGUUUUUCUCUUGCUUUAUUGGCUCUUGUAGCUAUUGCCUGCUGGACUUCAGCUCAACCAUGUUAAAUUUGGCUACAGGAUGGAAUUUUGAUAAGAAAUUUACCUGGUCCUGCAAAAAGAAGCCCUUCGUGUUCUUGCUUGAGGCAUGUAUUGUCCACCGUGUUAAAUGAGUAGCAGCAAUGCUUUUACCCUCCCAAAUACAUUUAAAAUAGAAGGGCAGUGAUUUCUAGGCAAACUCCAAGACAUACCCCUGGGAUGAAUCCACAUAAAGAUAUUCUCCAAGGGAUUUGAUUGCAAAGCCCAGGUGUGAGGAAGGUAAGGUAUUGAAUUCCCUACUGAAUUGGAGUUUGUUGAUUGGGUUGAAGGUGCUUAUUGGAAGAGGCUUUGUUAAUUUUUAAUAUAUUUUUUUGUAAUAAUUGUUUUUCAAUGUUUUCUCUGGGCAAUCUUUAUGCCUUGGAACUGGUUAAUCAUGAGGCAAAUUUAGUGAGAUGUAUAAUUUGAAGCGUAUUGUGUGUGGAGUUUUUUCCUGAUUUAUUUAGAGACUUAUUUCUCCAAGUAUAUACUAGGUAUUACCUUGUUUCUUUCCCAUCAGUGUCUUCCCAUGGUUGUUGUAUAAGUUGGAUGAAUAUACUUAUUUGCAUGUUUUGGGUCUAUUCUCCUUGAUUUCCCAAAACAUAUUUAUGGAGAAAUUAUUUACACGUAUCCCAUUAUUUGGUUUCUACCCUCCCUUGGACUUUUUUCAAGUGUUCAUGCCACAGCACAUUUUAACAGGCAUAGGCUCACUGACAAGUGACCUCAGAGUGGUAUCUUACAAGAGGAAGCAUAAAGACUCUCCUUGGCCACAGAGCUGUAAAGGGUGACCAUUUGAUAGAUAGCAUAUAUCAAAAUUCAGAGUAAGAAAUUAUUUGGAUGAUUUGGUUGCUUUA
Molecule: long non-coding RNA, 2643 nt
Filed under: Stylophora pistillata
Lineage: Eukaryota; Metazoa; Cnidaria; Anthozoa; Scleractinia; Pocilloporidae
Description: uncharacterized LOC111334675
Source: RNAcentral